UGCCUCGGCCUCCCAAAGUGCUGGGAUUACAGGCGUGAGCCACUGCGCCUGGCAGUUUAAUUUUUUUAUGGCUGAUGGCCACACACAUGAUAUUCACAACAAUCCAAAAAUGCAUGAUAAUGGCACAAAAGGCAAACUCAAAAAAUGUAUUUUUUACAAGGUAUUAUGAAAAGAGAAUAAGACAAAUUAUAUAGCUCUUGAUAUGCAUGCAUAUAGCCUUUCAUUAGCUCUUUUAUGUUUUUAAAGAAAGUAUCAAGUGCAAAAUAUUUCAUUUUAUUUGUUUAUUUAAAGAGCACACAUGCAACAACCAUGUGUCCUCUCGGAGCAUGCAUUGCAAGACAGUAUAUUGGGUAUGUUGGAUAUCCUGUGUUUUUUUCUCUAGCUUCACUUACCACUCUUACCACCCUGCUCUGGGAAUUAGGACUCUGAUCUACCCAAGCAGGCCUCCUCUGACUUCUGGUUGAGUUGGGAAUCGGGAGUACCAGCAGGAGAUCAGAAGGAGGAGGGAGAGAGAAGACAGAAUAUUUAUUUCCUAGGCCCUUAUCUUGCAGGGAGGAGAGAACACUUUGGGUCUGCUGCAUCCCUUGACCUAAAGUCACAGAUACUGUCAAGAAGGACAGCAAGUAGUGGGAAACAAGAUGGAUUAAAUUCUAUGUCAUUUAAAAUGCUGUUCUACCAUCUUUUGGUAGAGUCAUCUGAAGAUGGUAGGUUUCAUUAAACAUUCUCCAUCUAAGCUUUCUCCAUCGUGGGUUUCUGCUCCAUUGACUUCGUUAGCCUGAGGUUGGUCACAAUUUCCCCAUUAACCAGUCCAGGGGUACUUUUUAUAGGUUCCCCAUAUUCUGAUGAUGCCCUUAAAAUAAUGCCUUUAAAAGAUUAUCUUCAAAUUGUACAAUGUGUAUGUGCCCUUUCUUUUCUUUCUGGACUCUGAUACCCUGAGAAUGGAUAUUUAAAAGAUAGUGUAGUGUAGGAUAUACAGUAAUAUUUGUUUAGAAUUUUUUAAAAAUUUUGUUUCUACAUCUUUUUUAUUGAGAUAGUUUAAUUGAAAAUGUGCAUGCAUGGAGGGAGAGUGUACCCAAUAGGAGUUUGGGAAAAGUAAGAUUUCAAUCCCAAUAAUUAAUUUGGGGAGCAUUUAUUUGGUUUCUUUAAUAUUACAGGCUCUGAGCAAAAAUUUCAAAUACUGAGAUGAAUUUAUAGCUAUGUUCAGCUAUAAGCCUUAAAGAGAUAAGGCCCCAGAAAACUUAGAUUUUAUUUUUUACAGCAACCUUCAAGUACAUAAUAGCUAUUGUAAUAAAAAUAAUAGCUAGAAUUAUUUAUAUGGUUAUAAUAAAUAAUAAGAAAAGAUACAAACAUUGUCUUGAUUUUUUAGUUUCUUUUGAUGGUUAUUUUGAAUUCUGUAAAGUAAUUCUGCAGGCAACUUUACAAAAGUGCAACUUUGGCAAUUCAAGAAUAUUUAUUAAAAACAAACCAUUAAAUUUUAUUUGGGCAACUCAAUUUUGAUGAGAGUAAAGCUGAGGUUAACUGGUAUGUAAAGUUAAAAUUCCAACAGUGUAUGAGGAUCAUUCUCCCUCCAAUUGUUUACAGGCAUAUACAUUCACUCACACACAGCCCCACACACUCACACAGACACAUUCACACACUUACACACACUCACACAUACUCAGUGAAUAACUCUUACAGUUCUAACUUUAUACCUGUGGUACUUUUGGUUCUGUACCUAUGUAAAUAUAUAAAACAUGGGAACUCUUCCUGUCUCAUGGUAAGAUGAGGGUAAUAGUAAGGGAAAUAUAUAAAUGUUUCCAUCCAGACCAUUAUUUUAUACACAUAUCAAGCAAAUAUAAUGUAAUAGUGAUAGUUUUAAAACCUUUCAUAACACUGCCAUUUUUAUCACCCAGGUGUGCAUGCAAUAAGCAUUUUAUAAAAUAUUUUCAUAUUCUGCAAGUUUUUCUUGCCUCUGAGGCUCCCCACCCAUUUUGUCAAUGGCAGUUGUCCCUCCAAGAGAAGGGCGGAUACCAUCUGGAACAAAGAGGGCAUUGAUCAGGCCUGCGUUUUAAAGCCAACUUAAAAAAAACUUCUAGCAAGAGACUUGAGCCUUUUAGUGAGUGAAAGAGUUGUGUUUCCUAAAAUGCUGAAAAGAAACAAAAAGAGAGAAGAGAAAAAAAAGAAAGUAAAAGAAGGAAGGAAAGAAAGAAAAAAGGGAAAGAGACAAAGAAAAGGAAAAAAAUCUCUCUUGUUCAAAUAUCAAAAGCAAAGAUGGGGAAUUUUGUCCAUAAACCCCAAGAAGAGCGAAAGCAAAAGGAGAAAGUAGAGAGGGUUAUGGUCAAUGAGGUAGACACUGCGAGAGACCCAGGCACGGAAAGAAGUGUAUCCUGAGUUUACCCCUCAGGCUAAACCCUAGGGCAUGGUGAAAGCAAGUAUGGGUGGGUGUGGCUUUCAAAGGCUGUUAGAAAACAUGUAAAAGAGAAACUGCAGAAUCCCAAAACAGUAGGAUUUUUCUUCCCUUCCUGGGCACUGCCUGGGAAGAUUAGAUAUCACCCCAGAGAAAUGCUCCAUCCACUGUGGCACCUUGUAGACCAGUGCUACUCAAAAGUGUGGUCCUGAGAAGGCGCUGGCCUGUAACACUUUGUUAGACCUCUCAUCUACACUGAGAUAAGUUCUGAAGGGCACAAUAAGGAUCUGGAAACUUUUAAAGCAAUUUCAUAGUCUCAUGCCUCUUGAAUCAAAUAAUAAUUUGUAAAAACUGAGGCCUGUACUGUAUACCUCAUUGUUGUUUUGUUUGUAGUAGUUUUUACUGUAUUUUACAAAAAUAUUGAACUGUAAUGGGUUGAAAAGGAAAAACUCAGUAUAGAUAGUUUGGGAAGUGUUAUGCUAUUCAUAUUCUUAUGGCCUCAGCCACCACAAUACAUGGCCCAUCGAAAAACAGAAAUUUAGAGCACAGAUAAAAAAUACCAACAAAGUACAGCAUAUGCCAUUUCUUCAGCAACAUAUGUCAUAUGCUGAAUUGAGAAAAUGUGUUACAAGUGGCUAAGAGAGGGCUCAUCCAGAGGGCUGAAAGUCCUGCUCCCCACUUCUCUUCUAACACUGCACACACCUGAGUCUCAUGUGCCAUGGGAAGAAGCCAAGACUAUACAUAUUUGACCAGUAGGGGACAUAGGAGGUACCUGGAUGGAAACUCCAGGAGUCAGCUGUGGAACUAGAGCAGAGCGAUCCCACUGCUAAAGGGCAGAUGGCCUAAACCACAGCUGGAGGAAGGAUUUAGCUGAUACUCAGACAAGCUCAUAGUGCUAGUGAGAGCCGAGGUAGGAUGGAACCAGCAUGAGAACAGCCCAUGAGUCCACUAGACCCAGAGGUCUCACAGGACACCAAGAGACUGGCACUUAGGCUAUUUCUUCAGAGGUCAGUGAGGACCAAAUGGCCAUCCAUUCAUUCCUGACAUCCCUGGGCAUACAUGCCUUCUAGCCAAGCAACUCAUGGUCUUGAAAAUUCCUGAUAGAAACCAUCUUGGGAAUGCAGGUGCGGAAUAGUGGAAGGACUAAGGAUUCACUUCAAAGUGACUGCCCCAAAGAAAUUAUACACUUCAAUUCAACAGCCACAUUGUUCUCAUUACCCAGAAGUAUGGUAGCUUGAGAGCAAAAUUACAUAAAAUGUAGGAAAUAAAGAAAUACUUUUUUUAAAAAAACUAACUGGUAGUGCAUAAAUUAUUAACCCUGCUGUACACUCAAUAAAUAGUGACAAUAAAAACCAUGCCUAGCAUAUAGUACACUAUUAAUAAAGGCUUGCUGAAAUAGUAAGAGGAACUCCCAUGAAUAUUACAUCUCAAAUAUUGGCACACAAGCAGAAUUAGGACCUAUAGGACCUGUAGAAGCUCCCUCUUCUUGCAGGGUGACAGGAUCACAACUUUGUUGCCUAAUAUUUUAAGUGAAGCAAGUAAAUUGUGUAAGAGUCAUAGCCAUGGAGAUUAUUAAUAACGUCCUGAAUAAGUGCUCAGAUAGGAAGUUCUCCAAGUCAUGGGGAUGGGUCUUAGGAGAGAGGAUUUGAUAUUUAUUCACUUUUAGAUUUGCUGGGCUUUCCAAAAGGAUGGGAUAUAACAGGUCAGGGUGAUCUGUCCCUGAACUCUACACGGAGACUUCAUCUUAGUAAUCCCAAGCCCUCUCUCAGGUAUUGCCUCUGACUUUUGAUGACGUCUAGUAGGCAAUGAUCACUAGUCAUUUUUUCAAUAAAUAUUUAUAGAAUCCUAGUUGAUUUUUGGAUGCUGAGGCCUUAAAGAUAAUUAAAGUUGAUUUUUAGAUUUAAAGAGCAUUCUUCCCACUCAAGGAGAUCACAUUGCAGUGGGGGAAGCACAAAGGUAAACUGAGAGACACAGCUGUGGUCAUCGGCAUAAUGAGAGAACAAGGAGCUAAAGAGGAAUGGACCCGGGGACACGGCUAACCUUUUCUAGGCUUGCUCAGGAAGGGUUUCCUGAGAAGGCCUAAUUGGAAUCUUUUGGGCUGAGCCGUGCAUAAUUCAGAGUUCAGAGUUCACCAAGGGCGGAUGGUAGAUUCAGUCAGGCUAGGGGAAGGAAACAAUGCGGAGAGAAAAAGCUGUAUGUUUAUAUGGCAGUAGAAUUGACCGGCUGGAGGAACUUGAGAUGUUUUGGUGAUUGGAGCAUGAAGCAUGAGUGUAGUUCAUGUCCUGGCUGUUAGGAUAAGGCAAGUGUUAAGCGAGGGAACUGAACAAGUCUGCAGAAUCAUAUUACGUGUCAUGGAAGGGUUUGAAGAUGGAAUCACCUGCCUGGAUUUGGUCUUGGAAAUUUUGUUCUAGAAAUUAGAUGGCAGGUAGGGUGGAGGGAAAAGAUGGAAGAUUAAAGAGUCUAAAACCAGCUUGCAAAAGCCGGUAGACGAUAGUCAAGAUCUUCGGAUCGCCCAACUCAGACUCACUCAGAUCUUUGCUGAGAGAAAGGGGAUCUCUUCGCUUGCAAACUGGAAAUAGAGAUCAUCAGGACCGGCUAAUCUCAGGUCUGUCACGUGAAUUCAAUGUCAUAGAGAGUUUCUACUUUUCUCCGUGGUUAUACACCUCUCCUCUGGAAAAACUAAGAAACUGAGCAAAUGGUCCAUUCUCUCAGUUUUUUAAUCCCAAAUCCUAUAAGAUGUUUUGCAUAUUAGUAUUGUCCUUACCAAGAUAAGCUUUACUGCAGUGCUUAUUAAUUCGGUUCCCUUCUGGUUCUGGAGUCCAACACACAGAUGAUUUUAGGUUUUAUUCUAUGGCACUAGAAACGUCAUACCUAUUUGGGUGCCACUAUUUUAUUUAAUGCAGAUAUACUUGCAUAAUCUUUUUGUUUUUUAAUAUCUGACUCUUUUCCCUAUCUGCAAAUCCUAGUCAGGAUGCAAUUUUCAUCCCCAAGAUGACUUCUCUUAUUAAAUUAUUUUUUUAACAUUGAAAGAAGCGUGUGUGUGUUCCAGCUCAAAUAGAGAGAGCCUGUUAGACGAGUUGAGUAGGGUACAAGGAGAGAUGUAUGUUCUAACAUUUCUGUCUCCUGCAUCGUUUGUAAAUCCUUUUUUUUUUUUUUUCCACAUUGGCCAUUUCCAGUCUAAACCUUUGGAAGCAUAUAAUGAUGUCUGCAACAUCAGUCUGUGUUAGUCACAUCUUCUUGUAAUGUAAAAUCCCGUAAAGCUCAGAAUGUGCCUAUGUGGGUAAAACCCUUUCCCUUUUCUUCCCCUUCUUUCCCUUCGUUUCUCAUCCUGAUCUUAGAAUAAGUUUGGCUAGAUCUUUUCAUAUGAUGUUUCAUACUCCUUGGUUAAGCAAAUGUAAAAUUCAUGUCUGUAUAUUCCCGAGAAGCUCUUCCGCAUACUCCUGAGACACCUCCUGUAGUUUCUUUUUGAUAUAAUUGUUCUUUUUCCAUAUUCUUAUUUUGCAUAUUGCUGAAUCUAACACUACUUUUGAAUCCUCAUGACUAGCCUGCCCCUCAUUCUACUCUUGGGGGAAGCAGAUAAAUGCAGAGAUGUAACUCAGAGGGACCCAGGAGUCGGAAAAUCCAGGCUUCUCUGGCUCCUCUCAGAUGGUUCCAAUUGCUAGUAUGACAGUCUUUGCCAAGCAGGGCAUUAAUUUUAACCAUAGAAACCUGGCAAGUCAGGCAAUUCAGCUUAACAUUGCAAUUCGGCAGUGGGAACUAUUAGUUUUGGAUCUGAUUUUAAGUGGUCUCAGAAUACCGGUUACAAACAGAAAGGGUUUCCUGAAGCCAAGUCAUAUGGUGUCCCUGUGUUUCCUUAUCUGUCUUCAGCCAGGCUACCUGGGACCAGAGCAUGUGCUUCUCUACUGUACACAGUCUAAUCCUGUGAGAGGCAGUUGUCCAGCUCUGGUGUUAGUGAAUUUUAUUUUCCUUUUUGCUUUCUUAUUUCUUUAUCUCCAAACUAAUGCAUGUACAUUGUUGGUGGAAAGGAAAGAAAAUACAAAUAAUUUGAAAGCCCUUAAAGGUCUUUUGUAUCUCCACCAAGCAAAAGCAACCCCUUUAAUAACGUGGUGUCUAUCCUUCUAGAAGAGGCAGUGUGGGGAGAAAGAGGCAGAGGGAGGGAGGAUUUUACUUGCAUUUUCUAUUUCCUUGGAACUGCUCCAAAGCAAAAGCACCAAAGCCCUGCUUUGGCCAGGACAGUAUCCACUUUAUCUUGGCUGCACAAGGAUAGCUUAUGCUCCACUGUGGAAGAGGUUGUUCAACCUUCCAUAACCCUGCAAACAAACUCACCCCACCUCUGAGCAACUGGGACUGCAAGGCUACUCUUGACACAGCCCCAACCCCUACCUCUGUUAGCUACAUCUUUCUGGUUGCAAGGCAUGGAGACUAAUUUUCUUAGUAAAAAAUGCGUAUUUAUUAAUGUAUACUUGUAUGCCAUAUUUGCAACAAGCAAUCUGUCUAUGCUUCAGCACCCCCAAGGGCCAACUUCUCCCUGUUUUUCUCACACAAAAUCUUUGGCUUCACUCAGCGUCUGCUCUCCUCUCCUUUUUCUGUGGAUAGGUCAACUCCCUAACCCCCAUUCCAUAUUUCAAAUUAUGGAAGGAAUUCAUCUGCUAGAAGCUACUGUCUCUGUUUUCCAGAAUUUUCUGAGUUAGGCAACCUCCCUAAUCACUGGAUAGACCUUUGGGUCAGGCAUUUGCUCUGAUCCGUUUAAUGGUAGCACUUGUUCAAAAAAAAUGGAGUAGGGCUUCUUUCCUAAAGGAGCAGGGUUGGAAAUGUUUAAGUCCAGCAGGCAGCAAGACCAGCGUGUUCAAUAAUGAGAGUACCAAUCAAAUAGCUGAUAAAGGAAGGGAGGAAAAGAUUUGAGUUAAAGUUAUUUAAAAGUUGAAAAUGACAAGAUAGAACGAGUGAUUGAUUAUUAAACUCUUAGUUUUCUGGCUUGGAUGAAUGGGUUAGGUGGGGUUUCAUUAAGAAAGACAAGAGCUAUAAAAGAGACAAUUUCUUUUGGAAUUUAUAUCUGGGCAUAUUUAGUUAGAAGAAUGUGUGGGGCAUCUAGGAGAUAUCUCUUUGCAAAUACUGAUACAAAUCUAGAGCUGAGGGUACUGAUCUUGCUGUAGAUUAGACUUGGGUGUCAUUACACAUGGAUCGUGGAUGUCAAUCUACUGCUUGAGAACCUCUGCUCUCUCUAUCCUGGAAUAAGGCUAGAUGCAAGAAGGUGACAGCAAAUUGAGCUUUGGAGGGAACACUAUUCCUUUGUAGAGAUAUUUCAUCUCAUCAGAUUUGUAAAUUAAUUACAUGAAUAGUAAAAAAAAAUCAAGCAUCAAUACCUUCAUAUAUUUUUUAAAUAAGACUAUUAGGGUCCACUGUGAUUCUUAAUGAAAUCUAAGGCAACCUGGCUACUAGGAUAAGGCAAGUAAAGGUAAUACUUAUGAAUUACAGCUGCCAUUGAGAUCUAUCAUGGUAAAAAUGUAGGACAUAUUAUGAUGCUAUGCAGUGUGAAAAUCUGUACUGAACUUGGUGGAGAUUGGCAUGAAGUGACUCUUCUUGGCAAAGAAGGUUUAAAAUGUCUUUCCCCUAACCACAGGACACAAGAAAUUAAUUAUGUCAGUGAAACACAGCUGCCAAGGAAAAGGCAGAUCCAGUGCUCAGGUUACAGAGACAGAGAGCUACAGUACCGCCCAGCUAUUCCCAUUGACCAAUAUAGGAGGCAAUUUGCCAAUUUGCAACACAGCUUUGUAAAUAUGUGGUCCCCCAAGACUCUGUUUUGAACAGUACAUAAGCGGAGCCUCAGGAGCAAAGCCUGAAUGAUUGGUUGAAGAAAGGCCUUCCAAAAAAAAAAAAGAUGCAAAUACUACACAGACAUCUUUGUUUUUUGAAAGCUCAAGAUAGAAACUCCACAAAAGCACAAAGAUGUCAGAAGCAAGUAGAGGUUUGGCAGUGCCUUCCUGUCUUCCAUCACCACCACCAUCAUCACUGCUGUAGAAUGGGCUUUGAAAUGAUAAAACUCUGGUUUUUAAAUUCUGGUUUUUUUAUUUACCAUGUGUAUGACUUUGGGCAAGUUGUUAAACUUCAUCUGUAGAAUAAGGAUGUUGCUUAGCAUUGUUGCAAAAUAGAGAUAAUGUAUGCAAAGUACCUGGCACAGGGGUGGUUGUGAAAUGUUUGCAACUUUUGCUUUUUCAAAUUUGUAUAAAUGUAAGAGUUACAAGUGCAGUUUUGUUACAUGUAUAUAUUGUGUAAUGGUGAAGUUUGGGCUUUUGAUGUAACCAUCACCCCAAUAAUGUACAUUGGACUCAUCAUUUUCAAUUGUUAAUCCCCAAAACUUUGUUAGUAAAAGCAAAAAAUACCUGUGAGAAAUCUUCUAGGUUCCCUUAUAAAAUUAUUCUUCUCAAUUUAUUUUUCCUUAAGUUUGGAAAUCUUUCAACUCUAAAAUCUUUUCUGCAUCAUUUAGGUUUUUAGGGAUCUCACCCAAAUAUUUGAGGAGGAUUUACUGCAGUUUUGAUAGAUACAUAGAAUGGUUUGCCAUUUUCUCUAAAUCGUAAGUAAUUUUCAGAUCUAAAAUCAUGCUGAAGAUUCUAUUUUAUGUAUGAAUCUGGCUAUUACUUGAAUGAUUCAGAGACCUCAGUUUCUGCAUGGCAUCUGGCAGGACUUCAGGAAUUUGAGGUUGGAUGAUUGUACCAUCAUCACUGCAUAUUUGGGAUUUUUGUGCUAUUAUACUGAGGAUUGUGUAGCAUCUUCCUAGCAACUUCUUUCUAGUUUGUUGCUAUUAUUGCAAACGUCAGAUCUCAAGCCUUUUGAGUGUUGGGCUUUUUAUGAAGCCAGUAGCCAGUCUAAAAUAAAUUACUACACAUAUGCUGAUAGCAGAAGAUGACGAUAGAGUUAUUUUCCCAUUUAUCCUUUAUUGUUAUAUUUAGAAAGUGAACUUCUGUGGACACUGACAUAUUUGCCUUGUAUUUUUUUGGUUCUUGCUUAUAGCUUGCUCUGUGAAUAGCCUAAAAAUUAUUUCAAUAGUGGUCAUCUACGUUAGCUAGAGGGUAAAUUCCCUAAGGACAUAGACUGACAGCAGAUUUGCUCAGCGUGGGGAGAAGGGAAAUCACCAAAUACGUUUUGUUAAAUUACACCAACUUAGUGAAUUCAUAAUGAAAACAAAUGGCAAAGUUUUAUUGCACCAGGAAAUGCUUUCAGAUGAAGUUCUUUCUGACUAAAUCUGGGGUGAUAUGAAAAGUAACUUAUUCUCCCAAGACAACUGGCAUCUUUUCUUCUGAGACUCACUAGGCUUUCAGGAAAUGCUAAGAUGGAGUUUGAGGUUUGGAAGAGGCUCCUCUAGGCAUAUAGAAACCGAAGUGCAUGUGUGACUUUCUUCUUACUCAAGUGUAUUGAGUAAAGAAAAAUGUUAUCUACAACUUGAUGUUGGCUAAUUCUGACUUAAUAAACACAAUCUUGGACUUGUGUGGACAUGUAAAGCUUUGGUAGCCACAUAUAGCUGAGGACUAACUUCCUUUGGCCUGCCACAUGACUUUCUUGACCCUGACAUGGACACAGUGGAAGGACUAGACUGUCUUUUUAUUAUUUAACAGAAAAUGGAAGAGUCAACCAAAACAAAAGCAGCUGGAGCUGAAAUUCAUUACUGGACAGAGAGGUUGAGAUCAUGCUUAUCAUGCUUAGCUGAGUUUGAAACCUACACCAAGGUCAAGGCCCAGGGUGCGCUAUAAAAAGAUAACUCUUUCCUCCAGGUUGUAGAGAUUUUUAUAAUAGAAAGAAAGAAUUGCCAAAUCUGAACUCUGUCACCGGUAAUUAGCAGCUCCCAAAUGUGGUAAACUGGGUUCCAGUUGCCUCGGAGGUAAUAUCUGACACAGAGAUGACAAGAGAUGCAAGUUUAUGAAUAUGAAAUCUAAAUUAAAUAGUCACACUGAGGAGAUCAUUUUCCCUCUGUUUUUGCUUUGUGUUUUUGGUUAUGAUCCAUUUCAUUAACCUGAACUUCAAGUUUACCCUAUGGUACCCAACCAAGAUAAAAUCUGGGGAUAUAAUUGUCACAAAAAAAUGUCUCAUCUGUUUUCAUUACCCAUUCAUUACAGGCCCUUCUUAUUUUAGAAUCCAUUAAAAAAAUUACAGUAGCUAGUUUACAGAACGUAUUUUAUAGCACUAAUUAUGAUCAUUGAAUUUUGCGUGUUUUUAGGAGUGAUGGCUGUGUACUAUUCUGGUUAUCUUUGUUAUAAAAACAUUGACUUGACUUAGACAUUAUGGGCUUUUCAAAUAUUUUAAAACAGUAUUCAACAACAGACUCAUUCAGUUUCACACAAUUACCUUGGCUUCCAUUCCCUACAUUCCAGGCAACCACUUUUGAGUAGCCCAUUUGUCUCCCUGCAACUCUGAUAUUUUCCUUCUCUUUUCUACCAUUCUCUUUGUAUUCCCAUCCACCCCCAAAUUAUCCCAUUCCUUCAUCCACUGAUCCAGGGAUAUGAGCUGCAUUGCUAAUUUUAAAACAGGGAAAAUGAAAAGUGUUGGUUCUAGAAUGGGAAUGAAUGAGCCUACAGUGAGAAGAGGUGGUUUAGUCUACACUUUGUCUUUCUUGUGAGGCAGCAUACUCACUAUGCACAGGAUCAUGAAAAACAAAAUGAAAUACAACACAAUGCUUUGGCAGUUUAUUUAAUUUUGUGUAUUAGAACAAAACCAAGAACAGUUCUGAAAUGAAAGCCAGUCUUCAAGAGUUUCUAAAUGUUUGGCAUCUGCCUCCUUGCCAAUAAUAUACUAAUGAGCACUUUUGUUCUGUUUUACAAACCUUAUCUAAGUCAUUUUCUAAGUCUGAUUUGUGCUGUUAUAAAUUACUAAGAUGGGGCAACUUAUAAUGAACAGAAAUUUAUUGGCUCACAGUUCAGGAGGCUGGGAAGUCCAAGGCUGAGGGGCUGGCGUUUGUUAAGGGCCUUCUUCUAUGUCAUCCCAUAGUGGGAAGGCAAAGAGAGGGUGAAAGAGAACAAGAAGUGACCGAACCUGUCCUUUCAUGAGGAACCCACUCCUGCAGUAAUGAACCCAUUCAUAUGAUCAUGGCAUUAGUCCAUUCAUGAGGGCAGAGCCCUCAUGGCCUAAUGUCCUCUUAACAGUUUCAUCUCUUAAUAAUGUUACAGUGGUAAGUUUUCAACACAUGCUUUCUGGGGGACACAUUCAAACCAUAACAGUCAUAUACAAUACACAGCACUGAAUGGGAAAGUACAGUUGCCCUCCUUGCUUAGGACAGGAAUAAAAAGUUUCAGGUCAUGCAACAAAUGAUAGAAAGAGGAUUCCAUCCAUCCCCAAAUCUAGUGACAGGCUAUUCAGCUUUCACACCACUAGGGUGUAUGCUUAUUUGGCUGUUGCGUUUUUAUCUUAUCAUAAUCUCUUAAUUCAGGAAAAAUUACUUUACCACCUGAGCCUAUGGUGAAAAAUUAAAAGUAUAAUUCCUGCUAUGCUACUCUACUGCUCUACAAGUAAUAAAGUGAAUUUUAAGAAUUUUCUAAGAUGUAUUUUACAGAUUUUGAAUCAUCAUUGAAUUAGACAUUUUUAAAGCUUAAUUCCUGUGCACCAAAAACACAGGAUUAAGAAUUUGCAGAAUGAAGGGGAAAAAAUGAAGUAAUAAGUUUAAGUUCAAAGAAGUUAAUUUUAUUUUUGACAUUAGGAAUGCUCACAUUCAAGAUCCUUUCUGGUUAUGUCAAAAGGCAUGAAACACUGAGAUCAUAUCUUUACAUUAAUAACGUGAACCUGCAAAGUUCAGCUAUUAGAAUCAAACACAUUGAAGAGGUAAUCUCCUCUCUGUGAAAUCUGUCUAACCUAUAUCUUUGUGAUCUCAAUAAGGAACUGACUCUCAAACGUAUCUUGUAAAUGCAAACAUUCAGAAUGCUGCAAUAUGGUACUUCAAGGUUCUGAGCUUUUCGUGGCCAAUCUAUCACUAAUUAAGUGUAAUUAAAGGAAUAAAAACAUAGUGCUACAAAACUGAAUUUAUAUUUAAAAAAACAGAUGCAUAUUUUGUCUGGGAACUUUGCUGGCAUUAAUAUUUUUGGAAGUGAUAUUAUGAUAGUAAGUAAAUUAUAGAUCAUUUUAUUGAAAGACAGAGUGAGUGUGUACUUAGAUUCCAAAGAUAGUCUUUCAAACUUCUAUUUUCCUAUCAAAAUUAGUCAUCAGAAAUUUUUCGGAUUAAUACUCUCAAUGUAAUGAGAGUAUUAGAAUCUAGGAAAAGAAUGGUGUUUAAAAAAAUAUAUGAGCUAGGCAUGGUGGGUUUUGCCUGUAUUCCCAGAUGCUUGGGAGGCUGAGCUGGGAGGACUGUUUGAGGCCAGGAGUUUGAGACAGCCUGGGCAGCACAGUGAGACACUGUGUCUAAAACAAUUAAAGAGAGAGAAAAAAGAAAUACUGCUUUAAGAAUGAGUGAAGGGGCAGAGCUUUAUUUUGCAUUGGGAAUGGGAAUUGCGGACAAACUGUUGUUUGGUUAUUUUUGCAGCAGUUUAAGUACUGUGGAAGAAAGACGAGAAAUUUCCCAAGUAUUUCAUGCAAGAGCACUAAAUACAGAUGAAAGAUCAUAUCUCAAUUCAAUUAAAUCCAAUCUCGAGUGAUGUAACAGUAUACUGGCUUUUGUGGCAUCAUAGAAAUAUUUAAAAAGUCUCCACACUUACAGAGCUUACAGUCUUAUCACAUAGACAAGCAUAUUAACGACAUGUUCCACAGCCAAGGAUAAUGACACAACCUCCAUUUGUAUUCAAUAGAUAUUAGAUUCCAUGAUUCACAAUGUUCAAGUUACUCUUGGUGAAGUGCAGUGAGAGCCACUUAAUUUCCUUCCUGCAACAUCUAAAUGUCCUAGGCUAACUCUGAGGGCCAAAUACCCAGUCCUCUUCAUUUUUUCCCAUUUAAAAAGUUAUCAUUUUGAUUGGAAAAUAUUUCCUAACUACUAUAAGCUCCUAAACACUGGGAUUGAUUUUUAUCCAUUUCUGACUCCUACUAAAUACCCCGUACACUGAGCUGUGCAUUAAAUGUUCAGUAAACUUCCUAAGAAGAAAAGAAAAUUUUUGUAUAAAGGAAUGAAGGAGAGAAUGUUUUAGUAACACACAUACACACACACACACGGACACACACACACACACUCUUAAAUGUACAGUUAAAAAAUUUAAGACCUGGACUAAAAAUCCCAGGUUCACCUCUUAAUAGCUUUGUGAUCUUGAACAAUCUUAGGAUUAUGAUUGUAAAAGGAUUGUGGGUUUUUCAUUCCCAAAAUGACAAAUGUAAGGGUAGAUACUUGAGAUAAUCUUUUGUGGGGUAGAUUACAUUAUAUAUGUGGAGUUCUUACAAUAAUAAUAAAUGCCCAGUAAUUAUUAACUACAUUGUUAGUUCCACCUCUCUAUGCCUUAAAAUAUUUUACACAACUAAUACUAAAAGUUGGAUAUAAUAAAACCAGAAAAAAAAGAGGCAAGAAUCAGUCUAUAAAGUUGACAUCUUACUUAUUCCAACUCUUUGACCAAAUAUGUGAAACUGGCUUGUAACUCAAAAAAAUCCCCAAAACCAGGUAAUAUUUCACUGGAAGAAGAUACUGAAUUAAUAAGAAUUUAGCUAAUAUUUAUUGUUUAUGUCAUUACUUGGGGGAUGUGACAAUAUCCUAAAACAGAUACUGAGCAACACUCAAAACACCAUUGCAAAGAAAUUGGAAAGAGUUGAUUCAGGUGUUUCAUUAAUAGGAAUGAAUAUGAAUAGCAGUUGACUUAGAUUUUUAUCAAGUCAUAGUAAAUGGCAUUCUCUAGGAAUCCAGAAAUAUGGUCCUAAAUCCUGCUGACUUGGUAACUGACAGAUUUUUCUGAAUUAUGAUGAAUGAAGAAGCUUCUCUUUUUUAAAAUUUUAAAAUUUUUUCAUCACCUCAAUUCUGAAGAAGCUUCACUCUAGAUGUUUAGUUCAAUAAAAUUAUGCUUUCUGACACCCAACUGUUUACCCUUAAAACUGUCCAAAGAUUCUAAAGUCUGCUGCCUUUAAAAUCUAAAUUAAGUCACUGGUUUAUUAAUCUCUUAGUUAGCUAUGCUAUGAAAUAUCAGCUCACUUUCUCAAACUGUUUUUAUUUGUGAUCCAAUGUCAUUCCCUCCAUCUAUGCCUCUUCCAAGGUUAUAAAAUUUGGCUGAAUUCAUACCCUUUGCCAAAGUUGUGACCUAGCCAGUUAUUGAACAUUUUCUAAAUUAGGAAGUAUCUAUAGCUUUAGUGCCUCCCUUUCAUGAAAGUUCCCCAUUUUUUAUGGUUUAAAAUUAAGUCACUACUCCAGACAUGGUACUGGUGACCCAGCUGGUUUCUUGGGCUCCCAUAAGAAAUUAUUUCUGUUGUCCUCCAGACCUCAGAUCCAGCAUUCUAUUGGGAUCUUGCUAAAUGCCCAUGUUACCUCCAAAUCCUAGCUGGUUGCCGACUCACAGGCAUUCAUAGCCAAUUUCAAUCUGGGCUUCACAUUUUCUCCUUACACACCAAAGCUGGCCUCGUAACACUGCCCAACCAAGGUCAGGAGAAAAGAGUCACACCAGUUGUACAGUCCUGUAGCCAACAGAGUCUCUGAGAUCUUAUUGGAGUCUGUAAGUUCACAGCACAACUCAAGGAUGAUGGCAGCCUUCCACCCAGAUUAUCAUUGCCUUUCCCGUGAUCUGGGCUUGGAAGUCUUGGGCUGACUCUUGUCUGAAUCAUGACUCAACUUAUAAUGAUGCCAGGUGCUGUGCCUCAGCUGCUCAGUGGCAUCUCUGAAGGUCUACAUUUAGCUCUGAGUAAAACCAGUUCACUUAGGUCCUUGCUGGUUCCAUAUUUGGGUCUUCAGUCAGUCCCAGGAUUUCCAGAGUGAGCUGACUUAUCAUGACUUGUGCUUCGAUACCAGAAAUGAAAAUAGCCAAGCAUCAGGUCAGCGUAAGGAGUUGGGGAAAGCAUUUAAGACCUCCCUGAAUGACUGUGUGAAUUAGGGUUAUGGUUGGAUAGGAUAUUGAAAUUAGCAUUCUAAGUGGAAGAACUACAUGAGGAAAGGCAGAUGAUAGUUUUUUUUUUUUUAAAGGAAAUCAAGCAGAACAAUUUUCCCAGGGGUUUCAAUUUGGAUUUAUGACGUUUAAUAAAAAUUCACAGGAAAUUUUAAAUGCAAAAAUCAAGAAUUUGAUAUUAUGUUAUUCUUCCAUGAGAGGCAUUGAAUAUUUUUAAGAGGCAAACAUGUAUUAAGGGUAUUUAAUUGGUGCCAGAGAACAAAGAGUAAGACCUGUAUGUAGUGAUUGUACUCCUUUUCCAGUAAGAGAGGCAGAUAUGUAAAUGAAUAAUUUUUAUGGUCAGUUAAAACUUUUUUAACUAAUGCAGUUUGGCCCAGAAGUUGGUUAAUUAACCCAAUUAUAAAAUUUGGUUAUAGGAGGGAAUUAAAAAAUACCUUUUAAUACUUAAAUUGAAAACAUGAAAUUGUGUGCUCAUUCACUGAUAUUUUGAUAUGAGUCAAGAUCUUUACUUUGAGUAAAGAUCUGCUUAUAAUUAUGCAUUGCUUUUUUUUUUUUUUACAAUAUGCCGCAUAAUGGAUGACAUAUGGUUUAAUGUUUUUGUUUUUCAAAAUGGAGUGAAAAAUCAAAGAAACUUGCAAAGUAAUUAGUGAAAAGUGUACUGGGUUUGUAUUAGUUUUAUAAACUAGCGUUUUAGUUAUCUUGCCAUCACUUAAGUCAACAAUGUUAUUUUUAGCAAUGCAUCUUUGUUCAGUUUUUAAAAAAUAUUCACAUGUAUUUUCAUAGAAACAACCCUUUUCACAUUUUUCAAAAUCACAUUCAGUACAUAAUUUAAUUAUGUAAUUAAAAUAGUAAGUAAAACUGAUUUGGGGAAAAAUGUUACCAACUUUUUGGUACACGUACCAGUAAACUGGCAGAAACAGAAGCUCAUGAUCAUGCUGGAACAGCUGAAAGGUGAGAAAGUCUAGAAUGCUUUGGGCAUCAGCCAUAAUAUUUUACAAAAGGAAUGGAUGAUAUAAAUGUAGUUUAGGUAAAUUAAUUGGAGUUUCAUUAAGAAAAGUUCUAUGUUACCAAAACUGAGACAUGCACAGAUGUUAUGCGAGCACAGUCAAAGAGCAAUUAAGUAUUUGUGAAAUCAAGAAGGCCCAGAUCAGAAUCCUGGGAAGCACCAAGUGUGGGAUGAAAGAUUUAAAAUUUGACUAUCUUGAUGAGUGUAAACAACAACAAACUUCCACUUAAAUAUCAACUCAUAAUUGAUUUCAGGAAAACUGAAAUAGAGGUAGAAGAGACAAAAAGGGGAGUCAGGGAGCCAUUGAAGAAAUUAUCUCUUCAGAAAAACAAAAACAAAAACAAAACAAAAAAAAGAAAUAUCUCUUCAAUUUCACCAUUUUACUCAAGAUCAAUUCUUCUCUGAAGUGCAGAAGUGGAGGUAAUUUAAAUACAAAUGUUUACGUUCUUUAUUUUUCAGCUACAGUUUCAACUUUAUCAACAAAGAUAGAAGGAAGGGAGAAGAUGCCUGAGAAGGAUAUGUUCUUCAGAAAGGCAACCAAGAAUCUUGACUAGCAUGAAAGUUGGUUCCAGGGAAAAGAAGCAAGUCUGGGAUUUACUUGGCAUAACUGGAGUUAAAAGCAGUGAAAAUGCAGUUGUGUCAGUGAUCGAAGGAUGACAGACUGUGGGGCCUCAACCAUGAACUUGGUGAUGAGCUAGAGUAGAUACCUUUCGAUCCCCUACAAGACCUGGCCCUAGGCCUUUGUUUUAUGUGAUAUAUCACUCUCCUUCUUCCCAAAGCAAAAUGAAAGGAGCAAUUAUAUCCUUGAUGAUUCUUAAUUGUCGCAAUUAACAAAGUCAGUUUCUGGAGUCUGAGCUGAAAAUGAAGCUUAGAAUGCACCUUCAAUACAUGAAAUUUGGUAUUUUACUAGAUAGAGAAUCCAGCCAGCUGGUUAUUUUCUUCCAGUACUCCAUGUUGUUCCACUGUCUUUUGGCUUAUGCCUUUCCUGAUUAGAAGUUUUCAGUCAUUCUUAUUUGUUUUCCUGCCAAUACCAGCCCUUGGUGUGUAACCCUGAGCCCUCAGUAAGGACCUCUGGCUACAAGUUUUCAGGAACGGGUUCAGAAUCCCACAUCACAUUCUGUUAUUACUUUUGACUGGUCUCCUGCUGUCUGGAACAGUUUCUCAGUCUUUCUUCAUUUUCAAGAGUGUGAAAAGAUAGCAAAACCAAAAGUCUGGGAACUGCUGGUUUAGAGUCACAAUACUGACUUCUCAGAAUGACUUUUUAAGAAGAAAGCCUUAAAAACCCUUGAUUGAAUGGUUGGUGUCUACAGACAAGCAAAUGUAUGGAAGAGUAACAAGACAUCCAGCCUGAAUCUGUUGAAUGAACAAAAGGGGAAAUGCCCUUAGGAGUCAGAUGGAAGAAGGUUUUCUGGGAAGAGCAGAACAGAGGAGUUGGGCCUCAGACCUCCUGGGUCACAAGCAGGAGGAGAAGAGUAGGGAGACUUUAAAGUGAUUGAGACGAAAAUGGAAGUAAAACAGCUUAAGGCUUUUUGAUACCGGGUUCCUGGCAGCGUCAUUAGCAGAUGGUUUCUUCUGAAGUUCAGGGGAAGAGAAGAUGGUUGAAGGACUCUCCAGGGACUGAGUGGGUGUUACGGAGCCAGUGCUGUAGAUGCUAUGUAUACAGGCGAAUUCCCCAGUGAGUGUUUUCCAAUAUCAAGUUUAACUGGCAUUGAAGUUGUAUACCAAAGGUAGGUAAAUUAUUUUGGCCUGUGCUUAUAGGUUUAUUUGACUCGAGGAAGCUACCUGUCUCUGUCCUACUGUGCUGUAGCAGAUGCAGGGUCUUUCCAUACAAUACAUUAAGAGCUACAUCUCAUUUUAAAUAUUUUAAAAGAAAACCUGAUCGUACAAGUCAAGAUUUUUAAGAUCAGCUUUCGGUCAAAUUUUUUUGCUUUAUUUUUUUCUGGAGAUCAAAAUGAAUGUUUAACUGUUUAAGUUGAUUGCAGAGAAAGUUGCUACUCAUUUAAAUGUAGGUUUUUAGAAAAAGUGUCCUUGCCAAUUGCUUCAGUUGACUUUUUCAAACUUGCAUGGGAAUCAAGAUUCAGAUGGGAAGAGCCUGGAAAAUAGGCAAUUGAUCAAGAAGGUGGCCCAGAUACUUUAAGACCUUUUUAGUGUAUUUGAAAGGUUAUAAGUUUGAACUAACAGAAACUUUAGUGCUGUUUUCUUUUCACAAGUCAAUGUGUAGUAUACCUUGUUAUUCUUUGUUUUCCUAUAAUAUCUUAAUAAUAUUCCUGGCUGUAAGGAAAAAUUAACAUUAUACAUACAUUUUGACUUAUUUUAUAGAUGACCCAAACAAUAUUUAACAAAAAGAUUUUUCUCAAAUACUAUUUGGAGAUAACUAUAUUAGACACCAUCUUAAAUUUAUUUCUCAACAUGCUUCUUUUUGAGACUUCCAGAUUUUGAUGCUCUUUUCAGCAUCACUCAUUUUCUUUCAUAAUAAAGAUACCCAAUUGAAAUAUCAUAAUAAAGAUCUGAUAACAAAUCUCCACUUUUGAAGUGUUACAUUUCAUAUCUAUGUGUCCACUAAGAAUUCAGUAUGAAGAUUGCAUAUACCAAUGAAUAUUCCCUAAGCUUAAAACCUCUAAGUCUAGGAUACUUGCAGUUAUUUAGCAAAUAAUUUAAUCCAUGGCAAACAUGAGUCUUAAUACAAAAAUUAUUGAGUAGGCAAAAAAUAAUUUAAUGUAUUUGGGACUGAUUACCAGUGCAUUAAAAAAGUAGAGGUUUAAGGAUGGGAAUAAUACGUUUUUUUGUUUUUACUUAAAUUUAUAUAAAAGGAAUGAAAAUACAGAAAAUACAGUAGCCUAUAGUACUUACUAGUGUGGUUAUAUUUUCAGCACUUAAUAAUUACUAGUUGAAUUAUGUAAUGUAGGACUAUAUCUGAUAUGGUUUUGCUCUGUUUACCCACCCAAAUCUCAUGUUGAAUUAAAAUUUCCAAUAUUCGGGGAGGUACCUAG
Sapajus apella (tufted capuchin) is the source of this 19359-nucleotide long non-coding RNA. RefSeq lists it as uncharacterized. The record is from RefSeq and is a predicted model, not a curated record. The transcript is spliced from 7 exons. NCBI's taxonomy places the organism in Eukaryota, Metazoa, Chordata, Mammalia, Primates, Cebidae.